This 1387-nucleotide small RNA is filed under the name Drosophila ananassae. Its description in RNAcentral is "GF27816". Lineage: Eukaryota; Metazoa; Arthropoda; Insecta; Diptera; Drosophilidae. The record is from RNAcentral.
UUAAGCCUAGUCUUAGCAUUUUAUGUCUUACCUUUAACAAAUUUCCAUUCAUCAAUUCUGAUUAAUCCCAGGCCAGGACGAGUAGACCCCAUUUGCCAGGUGGCCCCCGAAGGACAAUCCACAAUUAAAUGCUGCGCUCAUGGCGACAUCGUUUAUCACUUCGCGGACUUCUCAGUCUUGGAUUCGCUAGGCUCUCUGUCGACCAUUAUGGUUGCUUCAUUACCAGCGAUUAAUUUUGAUUGUUUCGACCAAGAGACGAGCAAAAAGGAAGCACUACAAACUCCAAAUCUUUCCAGAGCUUCGCUGUUAAUUUUUUUUUGUAUAUCCUCCCAAAAAGAGGGCCAUAUUUCACCCAACAGGAGACAGACAGUGCCAGGAUGCGGAGUGGGAACUGUGACCGAAAUUAAGCACACAGGACACAACUACACGAAAACGUAAUAAAAUCAUAAUCGUCGGAUCAACACAGUCAUCAGCGGUGUCACAACAGGCCACCAGGAGAUGAUGACAACAAACACACACCAGCCAUCCCGCAAUCCCGCCAACCGACUUCGGAGGACUCCGAAGGAUGCCACAAGGCGACCCAAGGAGCCCCAGCCGUCGUGGCAGAAGCAAUUGCCAGGCGAAACUCAACGAAAAAACAAGAGCCAAGCUAAAGGGAAAAACUGAACAGGAACAGAGAGCUGAGAGACAAUGAAGACGGCGUUGCAAGGACUAAAAGUGGCAAUUGCCAGGACGAGGACAGAGACAGAGGACAGUGAAACUAUAGACCAAAAAUCACUGUAUCCCCUGAAAGAGACCCGGACCUCAUCCGCCCACGCACAUGAAGAGCUGAUGUGCAGCUUCCGGUCCUAAGCGACGCACAGGUGCAGGCUAACGGUAAAGCUAUAGCCAAAGCAGGGAAUGAAAGAGAAGGACCAAGGGCUCCACUGCCAACCGAAUCCAGCCAAGCACGGCGAGCCAUAAAAACUUUGGGCUGGGAGUUAGGUUGGGCAACUGGAGGUGAUGAUGAAAAAUGCGACAAUGAAAAUAAUGCCCGGCACACGCAUCUCCAGCUCCAUCUCCAUCUGAAAUCUCCUUCCACAUCCUUGACUACGUUCACAUCCAAUCCGGAUACCAAAUGAGGGCUGAGCCACCGCCGACGUCCAGCGGCGAUGUGAAGCUAUAUAGAAGCCAUUCGAGGCACUUAAAGACACGGCGGCGGGUCGAUGCCAUUUUUGGUGUCUGGGUGUGAAAAAGUUUAAGUGGCAACAAGGACAAAAUCCCUGGAUUUACUUUUAUGCACUCUCACACUCCGACUCCCACUCACUCGCUUUCUGAGUGCAAUCUGAGAGGUGAAUGUCGAACAGUGUAAGCUUCCCCAAAAAGCAAGAAAAAAAAAUAAAAAUGA